Long non-coding RNA from Octopus sinensis (East Asian common octopus), 360 nucleotides. RefSeq lists it as uncharacterized. NCBI's taxonomy places the organism in Eukaryota, Metazoa, Mollusca, Cephalopoda, Octopoda, Octopodidae. The transcript is spliced from 2 exons. The record is from RefSeq and is a predicted model, not a curated record.
UGUACAAAGUUGUGGCUAUAAUGCUGCUGCCUGGGUUCCUUGGUACAGGAGUUCUCACAGGUUGUAUUUGCUGCUAACCAUGGUGAAGUAAUUCACAAACAGUGCAGUGUUGGAACCUGUGCGAGUACAUUGCUUGUUGCUGUGUACGUAGAGAGAUGAUGUUGAUGUUAGGACGAAUGUUGAUGAGUCUCCAUGUGACUGCUGUUGUGUUGUCGCUGGAACUGGCUGUGUCCUGUGUGGUCAGUGACUAGACCUCAAAAGGUCUGGAACCGAAAGACCUCAACUCGAUGUGAAGCUAGAGUUUUAUAGGGUGCAGUCGGCUCACUGAAGGUUUAGAAGAGACUGUCUCACGUGACCUUA